RNAcentral lists this ribosomal RNA (465 nucleotides) under uncultured bacterium. Its description in RNAcentral is "partial 16S ribosomal RNA". It matches the Rfam family "Bacterial small subunit ribosomal RNA", at positions 28 to 507 of the family's 1533-position model. The record is from RNAcentral.
GACGAACGCUGGCGGCGUGCUUAACACAUGCAAGUCGUACGGUAAGGCCCUUUCGGGGGUACACGAGUGGCGAACGGGUGAGUAACACGUGAGUAACCUGCCCACAACUUUGGGAUAACGCUAGGAAACUGGUGCUAAUACUGGAUAUGUGCUCCUGCUGCAUGGUGGGGGUUGGAAAGCUCCGGCGGUUGUGGAUGGACUCGCGGCCUAUCAGCUUGUUGGUGGGGUAGUGGCCUACCAAGGCGGCGACGGGUAGCCGGCCUGGGGGGGUGACCGGCCACAUUGGGACUGAGGUACGGCCCAGACUCCUACGGGGGGGAGCAGUGGGGAAUAUUGCACAAUGGGCGCGAGCCUGAUGCAGCAACGCCGCGGGCGGGAUGACGGCCUUCGGGUUGUAAACCGCUUUCAGCAGGGACGAAGCUUUUUGUGACGGUACCUGCAGAAGAAGCACCGGCUAACUACGUG